UCCUGGUAACAAUAUUCAUCUUUUCUGAUGAUCUCCUUUCUGUUAUUACACAGGGUGACUUGCCAUUACUUUCUACCUCCUGCAUUUCAAAAUGUGGUAUGCAUGAUCAGAUGUGGCUCUGACAGUGUGACAAGUGCCUUUGCCACAAUUACUUCAGUGUUUUCAUCACCCACAAGGAAGCAGGAGCUCAAGACAUCAUUGUUAGCGAAGACAAGGCAGACCUUGAACCAGUUCUGCAGAAAUGGGGAAAUCUGACAGGAAUUUCUGCUAUGAAGGAAAUCUACCCAGUUGUGUGCUGUGCUGCUUAUCCAUGUGGGAGCCUGGCCUUGUCUGAUGGAUUGUGACUCCCUGGAAGCUGCAGUCAGGAAACUCAUUAGGGUAGACUCCUCAAGUACUCAGCUCAGUCCGCAGCCAGACACACCAGACCUGAAGGCUCCCAAUUCACUUUCCUGUUGGCUGUGUCCAACAUCUCAAAGUUGUUGUAUGAAUUGCAUUCUUCUCUGGUAUACAGUCUGAGUUGCAUCAUUUUUAAAGGAUGGGUAACUUAUGAUUUUAACAUCAAUAGUCAACUGCUGGAGAGAAUGUUGUGAUCCUCACCUGGCUUCUUGUCUAGCCUGAGCUGGCACACUGCACCAUGUGGUGUCUGCAUUUAGCCCACAGCUCCAUUUAAGAGAAGUGUUUUUGUCACCAAAGCACAAGAGAGGGCUUUGGGAAAGAAAGAGGACGGGGG
This 730-nucleotide long non-coding RNA is filed under the name Phasianus colchicus (ring-necked pheasant). RNAcentral describes it as "lncRNA (ENSPCLG00000015957.1)". Lineage: Eukaryota; Metazoa; Chordata; Aves; Galliformes; Phasianidae. The record is from RNAcentral.